RNAcentral lists this ribosomal RNA (495 nucleotides) under uncultured bacterium. RNAcentral's name for it is "bacterial SSU rRNA". It matches the Rfam family "Bacterial small subunit ribosomal RNA", at positions 899 to 1397 of the family's 1533-position model. The record is from RNAcentral.
ACUCAAAUGAAUAGACGGGGGCCCGCACAAGCAGUGGAGUAUGUGGUUUAAUUCGAAGCAACGCGAAGAACCUUACCGGGGCUUGACAUGGAAACGACCGGCAUAGAGAUAUGCUUUCCCUUCGGGGCGUUUCACACAGGUGGUGCAUGGUUGUCGUCAGCUCGUGUCGUGAGAUGUUGGGUUAAGUCCCGCAACGAGCGCAACCCUUAUCAUUAGUUGCUACAUUAAGUUGAGCACUCUAACGAGACUGCCGUUCUAAAACGGAGGAAGGUGGGGACGACGUCAAAUCAUCAUGCCCUUUAUGUCCCGGGCUACACACGUACUACAAUGGCAUUUAACAAUGGGUAGCCAAACCGCGAGGUGGAGCCAAUCCCCAAAAAGUGCCUCAGUUCAGAUUGCAGGCUGCAACUCGCCUGCAUGAAGUCGGAAUUGCUAGUAAUCGUGAAUCAGCAUGUCACGGUGAAUACGUUCCCGGGCCUUGUACACACCGCCCGU